CCUAUGCUGCUCUGUACCAUCACUCAUUCAUAUAUCCUUAUGUACAUAUUCUUUAUCCCCUUACACUGUGUAUGACAGUAUUAUUAUUAUUAUUUUUUUUUUUUUGGAAUUGUUAGUUAGAUUACUUGCUCGUUAUUACUGCAUUGUCGGAACUAGAAGCACAAGCAUUUCGCUACACUCGCAUUAACAUCUGCUAACCAUGUGUAUGUGACAAAUAAAAUUUGAUUUGAUUUGAUUUGGUGUUCAGGCUAACUAGAGGAGGGCUAACUAGAGGAGGGGGGAGAGUGGUGGUCAGGCUAACUAGAAGAGGGGGGAGAGUGGUGGUCAGGUUAACUAGAGGAGGGUUAGGGGGAGGAGGGGGAGAAGUGGUGGUCAGGCUAACUAGAGGAGGGUUAGGGGGAGGAGGGGGAGAGUGGUGGUCAGGCUAACUAGAAGAGGGUUAGGGGGAGGAGGGGGAGAGUGGUUGUCAGGCUAACUAGAGGAGGGGGGAGAGUGGUGGUCAGGCUAACUAGAGGAGGGUUAGGGGGAGGGGGAGAGUGGUGGUCAGGCUAACUAGAGGAGGGUUAGGGGAGAGUGGUGGUCAGGCUAACUAGAAGAGGGUUAGGGGAGGGGGAGAGUGGUGGUCAGGCUAACUAGAAGAGGGUUAGGGGAG
This is a long non-coding RNA of Oncorhynchus tshawytscha (Chinook salmon), 652 nucleotides long. Lineage: Eukaryota; Metazoa; Chordata; Actinopteri; Salmoniformes; Salmonidae. The record is from Ensembl.